GAUGAACGCUGGCGGCGUGCCUAAUACAUGCAAGUCGAGCGAACAGACGAGGAGCUUGCUCCUCUGACGUUAGCGGCGGACGGGUGAGUAACACGUGGAUAACCUACCUAUAAGACUGGGAUAACUUCGGGAAACCGGAGCUAAUACCGGAUAAUAUAUUGAACCGCAUGGUUCAAUAGUGAAAGACGGUUUUGCUGUCACUUAUAGAUGGAUCCGCGCCGCAUUAGCUAGUUGGUAAGGUAACGGCUUACCAAGGCGACGAUGCGUAGCCGACCUGAGAGGGUGAUCGGCCACACUGGAACUGAGACACGGUCCAGACUCCUACGGGAGGCAGCAGUAGGGAAUCUUCCGCAGUGGGCGAAAGCCUGACGGAGUAACGCCGCGUGAGUGAUGAAGGUCUUCGGAUCGUAAAACUCUGUUAUUAGGGAAGAACAAAUGUGUAAGUAACUAUGCACGUCUUGACGGUACCUAAUCAGAAAGCCACGGCUAACUACGU
RNAcentral lists this ribosomal RNA (496 nucleotides) under uncultured bacterium. Its description in RNAcentral is "partial 16S ribosomal RNA". It matches the Rfam family "Bacterial small subunit ribosomal RNA", at positions 28 to 506 of the family's 1533-position model. The record is from RNAcentral.